This 17537-nucleotide long non-coding RNA is filed under the name Eutrema salsugineum. RNAcentral describes it as "long non-coding RNA (ESAL_LNC000397)". Lineage: Eukaryota; Viridiplantae; Streptophyta; Magnoliopsida; Brassicales; Brassicaceae. The record is from RNAcentral.
CAUCAUCAAGUUUUUGGCGCCAUUGCCGGGGAAGGCACGCGUUUUCUUUUCUGCAAAACCCCGAGAAAGGUUAGUAAAUCGACUCUAGAACCCCCUUUUCUGCAACUUUCCAUUUUUCGGUUAUUUUGUUUCCAUUUCAGAAGAUAUGGAUCCUAUAAAUCGAAAUAUACACUAUGAGAAAGGUUUCUAUAACACUCCUCAAGCCACUCAACGCCGAGAAGCACAAUACAUUCGUGAUCUCUCCUCAAUGGAUCAGAAUUCAACUCCGAACCACCACAAAAGAGGACAUCGCAGCCACUACAAAUCAAUUCGCGAAGGUUUAGAGGAAAAAGGAUUCUGCUGGGAGACCAUAACAACUUACAAUACCCACGAAGAUAUCCAUGAUCGUCUCUUUGAUGUAGAUAUGUCGUCUGUCUCCCAAACCGAGAUCGAUGAUAUGCUUCAGGAGCUCAAUGAAUCUAUGGAUGAUGGGUAUUGGGUAUCUUGUGAAGUAGAUGGAGAAUCCUCCAUCAAGUUUGUUAGAAAGAGGCCAUCAAAUGAAAUUCCUUAGGAUCAUCAUGUCAUGGAAGCCAGCUAUCAAGAAAAAGGAGAACCUCUUUCCAUCCUUAGUGACGAUCUCGUCUCUACCGAUUCAUUCAAGUGUUUUGGAGAUGACAAACAAGAUCAUAAGUCCCUUCCUCUUGAUGAACCAAAGCCUUGUUCUCCUUCAGCUCCUCACCAUCUUGAAUGUAAGACAGACCACGUGGAAGAUAAGACACUAAUGGUGACAUCAAAAUCACCAUUGGAGGCGCUUUCUAAGACGAAGGAUUCCGAGAAGUUUGAUGCCCCAUUCUCAAUCAAGGAAGUGAAAUUUCGUGAUUCUCGUUGUGAAUCUGGACCUGGUGUGAAUCUCAUACCAAAGACCAUUGCAGAGAAUACAGGUAUUUCGAUUUUUCAUCCCUCAAAGAUUGAUAUUCACUAUGGAGAUUUUUCUGGUGCAGCUCUACUUGGUUCCAAACCAAAAUUGCCUUUUCAAGGGAAAGGUUGUCUUGUUUCUACUGGUUCCCAUGCUAUGGAGAUGAGAAACAAUGCAACAAAACCCUUGAUACUUGGUAUUUCGUGUCUAGCAUAUGUUGGAACACUCAUCAACUACCUGCAUCAACAUAUGAGUUUCCAGAAGAUCAACAAGAAAACCCCAUACCCGGUGAUUACUACAAGGAACUCUCAUUAUCUGAAAAUAGGAGGCGUAGAUGAUCCAAUAUUUGACCCUGGAGGAACUACAAAGGAUGUUGGAUACGUUCUAGAAAGAAGAGCACCCAAAGAAAACGCUGGAUUUACAAACUUGAUGAACAAAGGUACUUCCUUACGUAUAUCUUUAACUAAUGCUCAUAUAAGAGGUGAUGAAGACUUAAUUGAAACGAGAGUGAAGCUUAAAUGGCUCUCAAGACUCUUUUCCAAAGACUCCCCACAAGGAAAAAGAAUUGGAGACAAUAUGCAAGAGGAUCUGGACACCUUUUCUCGGAAAUUCACCACCGCGGUCGCGUGUGCGCUACCAGCGGCCAAACCACCUUUCCCCGCGGUCGCGUGUGCGUUACCAGCGGCCAAACCACCUUUCACCGCGGUCGCGACACUUCCACCAGCGGCCAAUGCUCUUUUUACCAAUUCUCCAACAGUUCAAGCCAUGGCGACACCUCUCCAAGCAAACUGUCCUCACCUUGGAUGCUUAACCAUCUCCACCACUUCAGAUCAUAAAGAAUCAUCUGUCCUUGUAUCUUGCAACAUGGUUCAAUGUCAUGAAGUGAGAGAGACCUUAUUCACCCCAUCAUACAAGCAUCUAAGACGUUCUCCUGUCACAAGUGGUGUUGAAGACUCAUACCUCAAAGAAGUUCCAAGACUGAUUUUUGAUCCUGGAGGAGACUACCAUCUCGAACCUGCUAGGCAAAGCAAGGAGAUGUCAAAAAAGACUUGUCUCAGGACAAGGUCCUCUUCAUUGGAAUAAGUCACGUCCAACACCAAAAGUCGAGCUAAACGACUUAAAACAGAAGCGCUUAAUGGGAGGCAACCCAUUUAGGUAUUGUUUUCUUUAGGAUUUUUCUUUCUUUUUCUUUUGAUCUUUUUCUUUUUCUUAGUUUCAAGUGUUUCUUAUAAAACAAAAAAAGCCAAAAAAAUCAAAAAAAUCCGAAAAAACCAAAAAGAAGGAUGGUACCUGACUGCUCGGCCCAGCAGGAACCAAGGAGAAGCAGGAAGAGGCCGCGAUAUAAGCCCCCGCGGUCGCAGACGUUCUGACCGCGGGAAACCUACCGUCGGCCGCGGUCGCAUAGUCCUGACCGCGGCCAAGUGCUUGAUUGCCGCGGUCGUGCAGCCCCUGACCGCGGCACUUGGUCGUUGACAUCCAAGCCCGACCCAAACCACCCACUUCACCCCAUUCCACCUCACCAAUCACCCUCCACCUCAUUCAUCACCUUCCACCACCUUCAUCACCACAUAAUCACCUUCCCAAACCACUUCGAAUGAAUCCGGUUCAUCUCCACCAUCAUCCCGGAUCCAGGUAAGUUCUCUUUGUUCUUACCAAUUCGAUUAUCUAUGCAUUUUUCUCAUCCAAUCUCGACUUGUUUCACACUGAGGACAGUGUGAUUUAAGUCUGGGGGAGGAUUUCAUCCCUUUCUAACCACUUUUCUUUCAUGAGUCUUGCAUUAUCUACACUUUUUGCAUUUUCUUUAAAGUUUUUCAAAAUCGGUUUUCAAAACAAAAUACGUUUAAAAGGGAAUGGUGAACAUGAAUCAAUGAUAGUUGACUGUGUGCUUUAGACUGUUCCUAGUGACAUGCUCAUUCAUGAUUUAAGACUAGACUAGGCGGUAGCUAAGCACAUUUGAAACGAAGUACCCCAGAGGAAUUUGAAGGAUUUUGAUUUAGAUGAAGGGAUACACUAGCUCUGUUUUAUUUGGACUUAAUUUGGAGUUAAUUUUCUCAUUGAAGCAUUAGACCAGGGAAACGAAUCAUACAUUCAGGACUCCUUUAUCCUUUUACCACUCUCUGUUGAUCCUGAAUGGCUAGUUCAUCUUUAGCUAGUUCCCCACCUUAACCAAUCCUCUUUCAAACAACAUGCACUCUUGUUUUCUAUUAUCUUAUAUGCAGAUAAGUGCAAAAACGUUGGAGAGAAAGAGGAACGACGCAGUUUUCAGUCACCAAGGACAGAGACAUGUGAUUUUCCGGAAAUGUUCCCGGAAGGAUUCAACACAAGUUGAAGCUCAGUUUGCCUUAGAAAAAUCUCAAAUUUUGGUACAAUCUCGUCCUCUAGUCUCUCUCUCUUUAAAAGGCAUUUCCUUUCCAAAAAAAAAAAAAAGUUCCGAAAAUAAGAAAAGAAAGGAGAUAAAAGCCUUAGAGAGUCUAGAGAGGUCGAAUUUUAAGUCCCAAGGCAACUGGAGUUCGAUUUUAUGGAGUUUUGGAGAUUCUUUUCUGAUUCCCGGAAAAAAAAUCUAAGUCUGGGGGAACAGCUGUUUACCACAAAGGAGGAAGGAUUAUGCAACAACAUUUGGCAAGAAGAAAUGAUUGAAAACUGUGGUCAUGAACAGGUCUUAUCUCUCUUGCGGUUUUGCAUAUUAUCUUGCAUCCUCCAGAUCUUCAGGUAACCCGAAACACUUUAACUCCACCACUUAAAUAGCCCUUGAAUGCCAAACGCCGUCUACCUUGGAUGAUGUCUUUAAUGAGAACUCACUAUUGAACUUAAUGAAUGUAGAGAGCUAGUUGACUGAAAUCAAGAUUUAAAUUAUUUAAGUUUUGCAUGACGGAAAAAGUGGACUAGUAUCUCUUGUGCUUUGGUGAGAAUUUUCUAGACUAAGUUGUGGAUUGAUACACUAUCUUUGGUCCUAGUUUAGAGUUCAUGUCUAUGAGAUUUGUGCAUUCCCUAUUUUUGUUUUCACUUAACCAGUUUAGGCUUUUGCUUUGUUUGAGGACAAACAAAGGUUUAAGUCUAGGGGAGUUGAUAACACUAUCUUUGGUUCUAGUUUAGAGUUCAUGUCUAUGAGAUCGUUUUGAAAUACUUUUUCUAUGUUUUUAAUUGCUUUUAAGUACUUUUAUUACAUUUUUCUAGUAUUUGUAGUUUCAAAACUCUUUUCAGGUAACUUAGGGAAAAGCUUAACAAAAUGGAUAGAAAACUAUAUUUCAGCUCAGAGUCAAACCGUCAGAAGUUCACCCCUGAUUGAAGGCCUUCUCACCGUCUGAUCCAGCUCAAAUUUGGAGACCUUAAAGAUGGAAGUAUCAGCUUUCCAGUGCACUUUACAGCUUGGCAAUCCAACGGUUCAAUCAAAAGAUACGCGAAGAGCAAGAUGUCCCGUAAACCAGCCGGCAAGCACUUCCACCCGCGGCCAACAAGCAUUUUCCCGCGGUCAGGAGCAUCCCGACCGCGGCAAACCACUCAUCCACCGCGGUCACACUUGUCCCGACCGCGGCCUUCAACCUCCGAGCUCAAAAAGCCCAUUUCUGAAGCCCACAUUUGAAGAAACCCUAAGUGACGUCCAGAGAGGUCUUGAGCACUAUAAAUACAUGUCUUAGGAGCCCUAGAAAGUGUGGAACCGAAUACCAUCUAUCAUUACUUCAUACUUUUAUUGUUUUUGCUUUAGAUUUUAGGGAGAGAGAGAUUUGUUCUCUUGAACCCUUGUUCUUUCUUUAUCAAUUUCGGUUUCUAUUCUACUUCUUAAUAUUAUGUCUUUGAUUUCGUUCAUUAUGUCUGAGUAGUGUUAUUGUUGGGAUUAAGGGAUUUUCGAUGGGGAUAUAUAUGUUUGGUGAGGAUUCCAUUGGCUAUUGAGCUGAAUCUUAGAACUUUUUCUUCUGAAUUCGUUUUUACUGUAUGAGAGUAGCGUCAUGAACUACAAUCUGAUCCAGAUGCUUGGUUACACGAAAGUGUUCAUCAGGUAUCAGAUCUAGUCUGGGAGAGCAAAACAAACAUAGGAGUGGAAACCUACCUAUGGGCGAUUUGUGAAUUAGGACGAGUCUUAAACAUAAUGCAUCUCUUCUCUUCCAGGGCCAGAGUGGAAACCUACUGGUCAGGGUUGAGAGAGAUAGUUGUCUAUGAUCACAACAGUGGCGUAUUCAUACGUCCGUGACUCCAGUUCGAAAAGUUUAAGCUAAGAUCUUACAAAAUUUACUCUCUAGCAAUGUUUUGAAUCGUUCGUACCCCUGAGAAAACUUCCCUGAACCCCAACGCUUUCUUCUCCAUUGAUUUACACCGAUUUUCUUUCAAGCUUUAGUUCAAUAUUGUCUUUCCUUUUUAGUUCAUUUUCAUUUAAGCAUUAGAAUAUCCGUUUUUAUCAUUUUUAGUCAUUUUCGUUAAGUUUAGUUAUUACGCCAUUUAAUUUCCGUAUUCUCUUUUAAGAUUUCGUUUUUAGAUUUUAAACACACUACCAAACCCCUACUAAACCGUUUUUGUUCUAGACUUCCUUACUUUAACUUAUUUCAAAGGCUUUUUGCAGGAAAAGAUCCUCCUUCCCUAUGGAUUCGAUCCCUAAGUACUACAAUCGAUCAGUUGUGCACUUGCGGCUAUUGAUUUCAAUUAGGGUAAAACUUGACACCCACAACACACCAUCAUCACAAAUCAGGAGCAAUCUCGUGUUCAUCGGCAAUAUCUGGAAACCGGAUGCCAGUCUCGACGCCGAAGAGGAGAAAUUGAAGAGCUGGGAAGCCAAGCUAAUUAGAGCCAAGGAAACGUUUAAGCGUGCCAUGACGGACCUAAGGGAUAAGUUAGUCGUUUUGCCGGUUUCCCUGGAUUCUGUUGACUCUUGUCUGGAAAACGAGCCGCCGGAGGUUACUGCCGCUUCGAUUGGAGUCACGGAUCCGACGGGUUCCAACAUCAAAACCCCGAGGGCUAGUGAUCUCGCAGCUGAGGGCAUCUCUGACCGAGAGGGAUAAUUUUUGUGUCCUCGCUUAUGUACUGAAUCAUAUUUUUUUUGUGUCUGGAUGGCUUUAUCCAUACUUAUUGGCUUGUUUGUUUCUGUUUCUGAACCUUGUGCAUGGACGGCUUUAUCCACCUUCUUUUGUUUGCUGAACUCUUGAGAGACUUAUCUGAUAAUGGUUUUACUUAUAUUUCUCGUGUUUGGAUAGUCUUUCGGUUUCUGCCGAGCUGUUUCGAGCAAUAGUAAUGAGGCGUUGUCACUAAGUGACGAACUGUUUUAGGUUAAGAUUCUUUAACGACGAGAUAAGGAUUAAACGCCUCAUUUUUUCUGAGUUGUGGUGUGUAACAUGUCCGAGCUGGUAAGUAUGCUUUUUUUGGAGCUUAGAAUCAUCUUCGGUCUUGAUGAUUUUGUAGUUACUACAACUUGUUUAUCCCUUUUUGCGAGGAAUACUGAUAUUUAUGUGAUAUUGACUGUUUUUAUCGAGGCGUUUAAGCCACAAGUUAUAUUAUGCUGAAGCGUUUUUCAGGCAGGGGACAUAUAUUAUGAGGAAGGGUUAGGCUUUGUUGCCGAGGUGUUUAACUUGGGCCGGUUUUUGCUUACCGAGGUGUUAGACUUGAAUUUCUCAUUGCCGAGGUCAAAAUCCAGAGGGAUAGUGUCAGAGUACGACUAUAGACCGGCGUUCCCGAGAGAGUGAGUGUGUUUUGUCGGGUAUUAAGAGUUCACUUCGGUUUUAAAGAAAACGAUGCCGUCUCAACUUAUAAUAUCGUGUGCGAUAGUGAGCUGUGGCGACCGAUACGUUGUUGGUCUGAAAUAUGUAUAGCGCGCAAAUUUUUAUUAGUAGAGGAUGUAACUUGCAUUCUUGUCCUAGGAAAGGUGGUAAAAGUCUGUUUAGAGAACUUUGUAUUUGUAGUCUCGUUGUGGCUAGCAACGAGACGAGGUGUUUGGUGUUUGGAUACCGAAGUGAAAUAGUAACAAGCAAGAAUUUUGCCAAAGCAAUGUGUGAUCAAUAAAGCAAUUUGUGAGACAAGUAAAAGCCUAGUCGACGUAAAACAAGUGAAUAAGAGACUCGACAAAGUGAAAAUAAACUUAGAGAUAGCUGACUCGACGAGCUAAGUAUUUAUGUAUAUGUACCCACUUCCAAGGACGGGAUGCCUACGUAUCCUUUGCAGGAAUAAACCAGUCCUAUAGUUCAUGUAAGUUGUUGUGUAUUCUUAGUGAUAAUACUUCUUCAGGUGCAUGGCGUUCCACAAUCUCUGAAUCGCUUCGUCAGCCGUUGUUGCGAGUUCAUAGACUCCUAGACGAACCACUUUUGUGAUCUUGUAGGGGUCUUCCCAAUUUAUUCCGAGCUUUCCUGCAUUCCUUUCGGUAAUGUUUUGGAAUAUCUUUCUAAGGACGAGCUCCCCUUCUUGAAAUCUUUGGCUUCAGACAUUUUUGUUGUAAUAUCUCGCCGUUACUUGUUGGUAGUUCUGGACUCGGAUUAAGGCCUGGUCGCGCCUUUCGUUGCCUAGAUCGAGCUCGUCCAACAUCAUCAGGUAAUUCAAACCUUCUUGUCCUGGCAAAAGUCUUCGUCGAAUUCCAGGGAAAUUCACCUCGGGAGGGAUCACACAUUCUGUUCCAUAAACAAAGGCGCAUGGGUUUCUACAGUGGUUCGGCAUGGAGUUGUUCGAUGUGACCAAAGGAUUCCUUCCAGUUCGUGCCCAUCGUUAUCUCUUUUUUAACCCGUCCAAGAUUGUUUUAUUAGCUGCUUUGGCUAGUCCAUUCCCUUGGGGAUAUCUCGGCGUGGAUUUACUUAGGCGAAUUUUCCACUUCUCGCAGAAAGUUUCAAAGCGAGUUGAGAUGAACUGAGAUCCAUUGUCGGUGACUAUCUCGUAGGGAACCCCAUGUCGACAAAUGAUGUUCUUCCAGACGAAGUGUUCGACCUGGGCGUCCUUUAUGCUUGCGUAGGAGUCGACCUCGACCCAUUAGAAGAAGUAGUCUAUAAGAACGAGCAGGAAACGCUUCUGCUUUGACCGGUGUAGGGGUCCGACUAUGUCCAUCGACCAUAUCAUGAAAGGAUAGGGCGACGAAAUUGAGGACAGCAGCUCGGUUGGAUGACCGAUAGUAGGCGCGUACCGCUGACACUUCUCGCACUUUGCUGUAAAUUUCUUGCAGUCCUUGACCAUCGUAGGCCAGAAGUAUCCGUGCCGUUUUAUCUUGAUCGCUAAGGACCUUCCGCUAGAAUGAUUGCCAUACGCGCUGCUUGCACCUCGUGCAUUAUUUUCCUUGCUUUGGAUCCUUCGACGCACUUCAUUAGUGGUCCUGCAAACCUCCAUUUGAAUACUUCACCGUCGACGAGGACGUACCGUGCGGCUUGAGCCUUUAGUUUGUGAGCCUCCCAUUUGUCGGAUGGGACUUGUCCAUCGGUGAUGUAGACUCGAAUUGCUCUGAGCCAUUCAUUGUCGCAGUCAUAUUCUUGCUCGGGUGAAGAGGCGUCUUCUUCCAUUGCAGUUGCCUCGUCGUUAUCUGGUUCUUCCUCCGGGAGGUCGAUCAGCCGAACUCCUUCUACUACUUCUAUGCUCGUCCAUUCGAUGAGUUCGACCAGAAUUUUUCUUUAGAUAUCGUGAUCCGAGGUUGAGGCGAGUGCUGCUAAGGCAUCCGCCGAGGUGUUUUCCCCUUGGGGUAUUCAUGUGAGCUUGAACUCGUCGAACUGUUCUAAUAAGUUAUGGACUACUCUGUGGUAUGCUCCCAUUCUUCCAUCAUUCAAUGAUUCGUACUCUACUUCGUUGUUCGAGGCGUGGAAAUUCAGGCGGAAAGACUGCUCCAAGAUUUCUCCUGUUGGCGAGGUAAGGCGAAUUCCUAUUCCCGAGCUGGUUUUGACGACGAGACGUCGACAUGCAGUGUCCAAACUUCAUCCGGAAUCAGCUCGAUUGUUGUCUCGGUUGAGACUUCAAUGAGGAAAUUUGCGAGCACAUGAGAUUUUGCGGAAGACCUAUUCUGAUACUCGAUAUCAUACUCGCUUAGCUUGAUGGCCCAUUUGGCGAGCUGUCCUAACUGGCUCGGGCUAUGCAGAAUUAAGCGCAAUGGAAGGGUUACGAGCACCACAAUCGAAUGUGAUUGAAAAUAGGGACGCAGUUUGCAAGCCGACAUUACGACAGCUAGGGCGACCUUCUCAAUCUCCAGGUAGCGAGUCUCGACAUCGAUUAAUGUCUGACUAACAUAGAAGAUGGGCUUUUGUUCUCCGCACUCCUCUCUUAUUUAUACUCCGCUUACAGCCGUGGCGGAUACGGCGAUGUAAAGGAAAAGCGGUUCUCCUUCUAAUGGUUUCGUCUAGACUGGUGGGCUCGCUAAAUAGUUUUUAACUACUGGAAAGCUGCUUCGCAUUGCUCGUCUCAUUCAAAAACUUCUUAUUCCCACGGAGGAUAUCAUAGAAGGGAGGGCACUUGUCGGUAGACCGUGAGAUAAAUCGGUUUAGCGCAGCGACUCUUCCUGUGAGCCGUUAAACUUCUCGCUUCAUUCUUGGAGAGAACAUCUCGAUACCUCGGUGUGUUACCAAAUGCCGAGGAAUUCUCCCGAGGUUACCGCGAAUCUAUACUUCGCCGGGUUUAGCUUCAUAUUGUGCUCGUUCAGUAGCUGGAAACAAUCUUGUAGAUGUGUGACAUGAUCCUUUUCUUCAAGCGAUUUGACUAGCAUGUCGUCGAUGUACACCUCCAUGGUUUUCCUGAGCUUAGCUGCAAACAUCUUAUUGAUGAGCCGUUGAUAUGUUGCCCCAAAGUUUUUGAGUCCGAACGGCAUGACUUUAUAGCAAUAUAUUCUGCGUUAAGUUAUGAACGCCGUUUUCUCUCUGUCGUCAGGAUGCAUCAAGAUUUGGUUAUAGCGUCCAUGAAUGUCUGCAAGUUGUUUCAUGCCGUAGCAUCGACAAGCCGGGGAAGUCUGUGAAGUCUAUGCAGAUUUGGGCAAGCCUUGUUGAGUCUGUGAAGUCUAUGUAGACUCGCCAUUUGCCGUUUUUCUUCUUCAACACCACUGGGUUUGCGAGCCAGUCCGGAUAUUUUGCCACAGCGAUCGAUCCUACUUUGAGCAGUCUUUCCACUUUGUCGUUGACAGCUUUAGCUCGUUCAGGGCCAAGCUUUCUCCGCUUCUGCUUGAUUAGUUUGAAGGUCGGAUCUACGUUUAACUCGUGACAGGUCACGUUGAUGCUUAUGCCCGGCAUAUGUACCGCACUUCAGGCGAAAGGAAAGGAGUUCGUUCUUCAAGGGCUCUCCUAACUUGGCUUUGAUCUUGACGCACACCGAGUCCACCGCAUCGCAUAUUGGCUUGACGCGUGUCUCGCGGUUCUCCACGAUCUUUAAUUGCUAUAAGAGUUUGGAGAGCUCUCGGUCCGUCUUAAGAUUCUUGCAAUCCACAUCGGCGCCUGCAUCAGUGACGGGAUUCCUUAAUUUGUGCUCCGUCAGGAAACACAUUCGCGACUCUUUUUAAUUUCUCCAAAUCGUCUUGAUGCCUGCUAGAGUCGGGAACAUGAUGCAGAGGUGAUUGGUUGAAGGGAUUUCUCUCAUAGCAUUAAUCCAUGGAGUUCCCAUGAUCAUGGUGUAGAUCGUUGGUUGGUCGGUGACUGAAAAUUCGAUGAUCUUGGUGACUCCUCCAGCUACCACAGGAAGUCUGAUCGUGCCCAUAUUUAUCGUUGUUUCUCCUGAAAAUCCAGUUAGAGGCUUAGGGGUAGCCAUCACCUCGGAGAGGUUGAUUCCCAUUCUUUUGAGUGUCUCCCUGAAGAUAACAUCCACCGAGCUCCCAGUGUCGAUGAGUACUCUUACCACGUCAUAGUCUCUAAUCGUCAGUUCAAUCACCAGUGGAUCAGUGUGCGGCCUAUCUGUUCAUGUCGUUUCCUCCUCGGCAAAAGAGAUCACCGUAUUUGGGAGGUCGGUUGGUUCGGCCCCGUUCUCCUUUGCUUCUGCUCGGCGCUGAUAGGCUUUGAUAGAGGACACCGUGUCUUGGUAAUGUUGGGAUCAACCCAUAAUCAUGUUGAUCCUUUGCCUCGGCUCAGAUCGUUCCUCGGGUUUGCCUCUCCUGUCGCGCUUGGUAUUGUCACCUCUUCGGGUAGAUUUUUUGCUUCUACCGCGCUAUUCGGCUUGGUUCCCUCCUUGGGUUCAGUAGGGGCGAGGUUUUUGAGAUUCACUGCGCUCUAGAGUUCUUCUGCUGUCAUUUUAGCUACAAGCUUCGCUCCCAGAGUUCAGCACUACGCUGUUAAAUGCCGUGGGUUUGGUGAUAUUCGCAAAACGCUUUUUCGUCGUAGUUGGUAGGCCUCCUCACCCAAAUGUUGUUAUGUGGCUCACCUCUUCCGUGGCCAGCACCUACUUGGUAACUGUGGGCGCCUCCGCUCCUUGGUUCUUCCAAAUUCUGAAUCGUUGUACUAUUCGAGGGAUGACCUUUCCUUGAGGGGUGCGUCAGGAUCGAACUCCGGAUUGCUGCUUUUGUUGUUUCGUACUAUUCGUCCAGAUUUUUCUUCUCUUCUUCGUUUAUGACAAAGUCUGAUGAUCGAUGUAAGGCAUCCUGAAUUGUCUGCGGUGUGUUGAGCACCAUCUCCCAUCGAAAUUUGGAUUUGUACCAUAAAGAUCCCUUCAAUGCUUCAAGUGCAGCCUUGUCUCUUAUUCCUUCUAUUUUGAACACGACCGCUUUGAAUCUUGCCAUGUAAUCUCAAAGUGGCUCGUUCGAUCAUUGGGAUAACGUCCAUAUGUCAGCGUCAGAAGUUCCUCGGUCCAGGAACAUUGAGUACUGCUUCAUGAACAUUGGGAGAGCUGCUGAAAACCGUUGAUCGAGUUGUGCUCCUGCCUUGAAAACCAUUCCAGUGCGGUUCCUUGAGAUGAUCUACGAAGAGCAGAUAGUAACCGGCAUCCUUUUCCUGCUCGGUCAGAUUGGCGGCGUUCUUUGUGAAGGCUCGUCCCAUUGCUAUGCGAAUGCUGUGAUAUGCGCCUUCGGGUCGGUCAUACCUUCAUAAAUCGGGAUUGUGGCAUUCCCCGGUUCAGAAAUCCUAGCCUCCGUUAUUCUUGCCAUGAACGGGGUUCUUUGAGUUUCUUCGAGCAUUCGAUCAAUUUCCGGUGCGACACUUAUCGCGUUAUGCACUUGAGACUUUAUGGCGCGUAUCUCUGCCACUUUCCAAGCCAUUGAGGCUCGCAACUCUUCCAUCUCCGAGGUUUGCGCGCGUGUCAUUCUCCUAGGUGGGAGAGGUCGCUCCUAGUCUUCUCUCCUCGGCGCGUCUCCGUACUCCGCCGGCUCGACCCAUUGGAGGUUCUCCUCUUUUUUAAGUUGGAUCGUUAUAGUGAUUUGGAUCGGUGACUCUGUCAGUUUGGAUGCUAUUAAGCGCCGAGGCGAGCUCUUCUUGACUUAUCUGCCGAGCCGAGCCAUUUUGCUGCGAGUUUCUGGUUCCGUCACUCUGCUGGGAGUCCACGUCGAUCACGUCGUUUUCCUCCUCAUCACCUCUCCGUCUUGAAUUCUGACAAAGCGGGGGUGGCUCGGUCAUGUUGACUCAGGUUGCUGCUGGAGUUCGUUCGCCGAGGGGACGAAACAUUCGUGGAGCCAUGGGAUUUCUUAUGCCGCUACCGGAUGCUCCUGCAGGUGUCGAGAAGUCGAAGCGCUUCCUGACUCCAUCUAUUGGAUCGGAGAUCCUAGCUCUCCAAGUCGGAUGCUGUCUUUCAGCCGUUAUUGCGUCGAGUCUCUCCGUGAUCGCUUCGUUCCUCUUAUCCUGCUCGUCGAUUUUCUUCAUCAAUGUGGCCAUCAUAUUCUGCAUCUCCUCCUGCGCUUCGGUAGUUGUCGUUGUCGUGCUUGGUGGUGGAGCGUCCUUCUCUGCGCCGUUGUUGUUGUUGUUCUCGUUGUCGGAAGCGUUGCUUGCCAUGAUCUUAUAGUCUUGUCGAUUUUAAAGUAAGAAAUUUUGAUGUCCCUACAGACGGCGCCAAAUUGUGUGAGCCAAAACUCGCACAACCAAAAAUUUGUUAAGGAAAACUUAAGGAAUCCAAAAUUUAUAGGGUUUAUCACAAGAACAGUAAGAUUGAAAGAGGGUUUUUUUUGCUGGAAAAGUGUUUUAGUCUUAUUGCUCUCGAGUCGGUAAAAGUUACAUAAUGAAUCGAUUACAUUGAUUAUUUAUACUCAAUCUUUAAACCGUCUAGCCGAAAAUCUCGGGAAAUAUUUUUGGAAUAUUUAUUUAUCACCUUGUGCGGCCGCUGCCAUAUCGCUUUGUCUAGAGUUUCUAUGUGCCUUACAUCUUCGUGGCUAGGCCCACUAGUUGUUGGAGUCUGCUUACUGAAGCGUCACGCUGUUUGUCCCAACUCAUCGAGGCGCGGCUCGGCCCAUGUCUCACAGUACGACUCGGCCGACUUACUCCCUCUGCAGGGCUCGGUCAAUCCAACUAAGAAGCAGCUCGGCUCGACCUAUGUCUCCUCGUGCGCAGCUCGGUUUUUCCUUUGCGGGGCUCGGUUUUUCCAGGUACCUAGUCAUUUUCGAGAUGGUUAAAAUGUUUGGGGUGAAAUCGACCCCAACAAACUCCACUAAUCUAACUCGUUCAAUCCUUAGACAACACUUCAUUAAUUCAUCCAUAGCCAUUCAGUGUAACUUUAAUCCAUCAUUGGUCUUCUUUGAACCGCACCAACUUGGAUCUUGAGUGAAAGUCUUCGGCCUUGUCUUCUUGACUUCAGCCUCGCCUCUUCUUCUCUUCUUCCUCUCUAAUACUCCCCCGCAAGCUUGGUCGUCGAGACCCCAAAGAGGCCUAGAGGCCAAGCUUCCAACACGCCAUACUACGUCAUUAAAAACCUUCAUAAAGAAAACAUCUUGGGAUAAAACUUAUGAAGGUAAAAAGAGUAUAGUUUAAUGAUUGCUUGAUAUAGCUAUGAACUUGGUUUGAAAUUCAGAAUUGGCACCAUCUUCCAAGUGUUUCCAUUCCUGUUAGCCCAUCUUGACUUGAUUUCUCUUCACAAGAACCUCUUCAUUCCUCCUAUUGCUUCUUUUAAAAUUUUCACACAUUCCUCCUCUCCUUUAAACCUUCAUCAUGAGAUUUAAAUAAAAUUUUUAAAGUAUAUGUUGUGGGGUUUUAAGAAACAUAAAUGAAACUUGUGUUUUGCAAAAGGAGAAAAUACUAAAGCAUAAUGGACUCAGGUAAUGAAAUUAACAAAUCAAAAAUGGGAUACAGUUUAGAGUUUACCCUUUUGAGAUGAAGAGGACUUCGAGGAUUUUGAGAUGCAGUUUUGCUCCAUGAGACAUUGCAUCGAUUUGUCUCUCCAUUUGAGGUUUAUCCUCCUCCGCACUUCUUGACUUGGAUAUGGUUUGACACCACAUCUUGACACCUUGUGGAUUUCCUGAACCCCAUCAGCUAUACACAUACACAAACGCUUUGGGAUUGUUUCAGAGCCUUCCACCAGCUUUCCUCUACACUUGAACUUCCACCUUAGCCACCUUGGGGUCUGUUAUCUUCAGGUCAGCCUCUUUGGUCCGCCAUCAUCAAGUCAGCCGGGUUAAGACUAGAUUGGGCUUGUCUUGUGGUCUCCAAAGCUUGAUGGUUACUGGUUCAAACUCCAAGCAUUAUGUUGGGCGUCUUUUUCAUGGCUUUCUUGAAGCCUUUAGUGUUUGAAUCUAGCCUCAUGACUGUUUCAAAACACUGCACACUCGCUAUGCUUUCAUGAGAGAGAAAGCGAUCCCAAAUGAAAACAAAACACCAUCUCACUGUUUGAAAUUUUAAACAUUUGAAUUAUUUAUGAUAGUGAGAGGUUGAGAGAAUAAAGAAUUAGGAGAUUGGUGAAGAAUAGAGAGAAUAGUGGAAGAAAACAGAAUUUAGAGAAUGGAGGAGAAUAGACAAAAUACGCGGAAGCAAAAUAGAAUGGAGAAUAGAGAAUUUGCUCAAGAGUUCAAAUGGACAGAUUUUUGCUCUGUUUUUCCUAAGUUUUGCGGAAGCAAAGAGAACCAAGAACAACCAAGAACAGCAAGAACUUUGGUGUAUUAAUGGCUUUAAAAAUAAUUACUCACAUUAUCACACAUGGAGAAGAAUUUUCUGUGAGCUUUAAACAACAAGAGCAAAGAAAUAACACAAGACUUAGUGUUUUCCAUGACUUUAAACAAGAGAAAAAAAUUGUCUUGAAUAAAAAUGGUGAAAAACGAGGAAAGUCACUGCUCUGAUACCAUGUUGGAAUUUAUGAAAAUGAGAAAAGGAACAAUCAACUUGCGACAGAACCAACACAAAGAACUUGAUAGAACCUCACCAAGGUGAAUGAAACUGAUUCUAUAAAGGAGAGAAAUAAAUCUAUAUGAGACUUAACCUGAGGAGUAAUACAACACAAUAGAGUUUUUAUACUCAAAAGAAGGAUCAGAAUCAGUAAAUUGAUUCAUUAUUAAGAGAGAAAUAACAAGAGAACUAGAAAUUGUUCUUUAGUAGAGAAUGAGAAAAGCAAAUGAAUCACUCUUGAAUUACUUAGGAAAGGAUGAAUUAAAGAGUGUAUUUGGCUGCUAUAAGCAGCCCUACACGUGUUCUUACUUAGUCUACAUUGUGACUUUAGGACAAGAACACAAGAGAAAAAUAAGAGAGAUAAUAUUGUGUAAAAUACUUGUGUAUAUUAAGAUGAUUCUUGUGACCAUAUUACAGACAUAUAUAUAUAUAGCGAAUUAAACAUGAGAAACCUAGUGUGAACAUUUUAAAAUAUCGUUCUGUAUUACAAGGAAAGACAGAGUCACAUGCUUCUUUAUUUAGUGUUCACACUAUUGAAAGUGACAGCUCACAAACGGUCACAUACGACUAAAGCCACAUGUGAGUCCAGACUCCAAUUCAAAUCGGUUUCCCUUCUCUUCUUGUCACUUAUGGGCUUUGUCUUGCAUACACUGGGCUUUAUUCCUUCUCAUUCUUGCCCUUCUUGGAUAUGGGCCUCGCCCUUCUUGCAGAUGAACCUCAGCCUUGAUCUUCUUGUAGAUGUGCCGAGACUAAGUGAUUGAGUCUCACUAGAAUGUAGAGCUGUACGGUCUCUUAUCAGCCUCUAACGGUCAGAUAUCAAUCCGCAGCUCACCACACAGUCUUGAUCUGUAUGGACGCUUAUCGGUCUUCAGCCUUUAAGCGUCCUACUUCCUGAUCUAUUGAGAACUCCACUUAUCUAACUCCUUCAAUCCUUACACAACACUUCAUUAACUCCUCCAUAGCCUCUCAAUGUAACUUUAAUCCAUCAUUGGUCUUUUUUGAACCGCACCAACUUGGAUCUUGAGUGAAAUUCUUCGGCUUUGUCUUCUUGACUUCGGCCUCACCUCUUCUUCUCUUCUUCCUCUCUAAUACUCCCCCACAAGCUUGGUCGUCGAGACGCUAAAGAGGACCACAGGCCAAGCUUGCAACACGCCAAACUACCUCAUUAAAAAUCUUACUAAAGAAAACCUCUUGCAAUAAAACUUUAUGAAGGGAAAAAGAGUAUAGGUUAACGAUUUCAUGAUGUAGCUAUGGCCUUGGUUUGAAAUUCAGAAUUGGCACCAUCUCCCAAUUGUUUCCAUUCCUUUUAGCCCUUCUUGACUUGAUUUUUCUUUGCAAGAACCUCUUGUUUCGUCCUAUUGCUUCUUUUGAGAAUUUUCACAUAUUCCCCCUUGAUAACACCGUAUUUUGACCACUUUUGUGGAUUGUUUUUAAAUGCUUUUCAAAUGCUUUUUAUUUCUUUUAAGUGUUUUAAGUAUGGUUUCUAGCACUUGCAGAUAUCUAGGGUUAUAAUUUUUAAAACAUGAAGCAGCGAAGUCAACCCUAGCAGCAUCACUCCUCUCCUUUAAACCUUCAUCAUGAGAUUUAAAGAAAACUUUUAUGUUGUGGGGUUUUAUGAAACAUAAAUUAAACUUUGAGUUUUGCAAAAUGAGAAAAUACUAAAGCAUAAUGGACUCAGGUAAUGAAAUAAACAAAUUAAAAAUGGGAUACAGUUUAGAGUUUACACUUUUGAGAUGAAGAGGACUUUGAGGAUUUUGAGAUGCAGUUUUGCUCCAUGAUACAUUACAUCGAUUUGUCUCUCCAUUUGAGGUUUAUCCUCCUCCGCACUUCUUGACUUGGAUAUGGUUUGACACCACAUCUUGACACCUUGUGGAUUUCCUGAACCCGAUCAGCUAUACACAUAUACAAACGCUUUGGGGUUGUUUCAGAGCCUCCCACCAGCUUUCCUCUACACUUGAACUUCCACCUUAGCCACCUUGGGGUCUGUUAUCUUCAGGUCAGCCUCUUUGGUCUGCCAUCUUCAAGUCAUCCGAGUUAAGACUAGAUUGGUCUUGUCUUGUGGCCUCCAAAGCUUGAUGGUUACUGGUUCAAACUCCAAGCAUUAUGUUGGGCGUCUUUUUCAUGGCUUUCUUGAAGCCUUUAGUGUUUGAAUCUAGCCUCAUGACUGUUUCAAAACACUGCACACUCGCUAUGCUUUCAUGAGAGAGAAAGCGAUCCCAAAUGAAAACAAAACACCAUCUCACUGUUUGAAAUUUUAAACAUUUGAAUUAUUUAUGAUAGUGAGAGGUUGAGAGAAUAAAGAAUUAGGAGAUUGGUGAAGAAUAGAGAGAAUAGUGGAAGAAAACAGAAUUUAGAGAAUGGAGGAGAAUAGACAAAAUACGCGGAAGCAAAAUAGAAUGGAGAAUAGAGAAUUUGAAGAGUUCAAAUGGACAGAUUUUUGCUCUAUUUUUCCUAAGUUUUGCUGAAGCAAAGAGAGCCAAGAACAACCAAGACCAGCA